GUGGAUUAGAUACCCGAGUAGUCCACGCUGUAAACGAUGAGUGCUAGGCAUGCGCGAGUAUCGACCCUCGUGCGAGCCGUAGCUAACGCGUUAAGCACUCCGCCUGGGGAGUACGGUCGCAAGACUAAAACUCAAAGGAAUUGACGGGGACCCGCACAAGCGGUGGAGCAUGUGGUUUAAUUCGACGGUAAGCGAGGAACCUUACCAAGGCUUGACAUUCUUCUGCAAGCGCACGGAAACGUGUGACCUUCGAGGGUGAAGAACAGGUGCUGCACGGUUGUCGACAGCU
RNAcentral lists this ribosomal RNA (289 nucleotides) under uncultured bacterium. RNAcentral's name for it is "partial 16S ribosomal RNA". It matches the Rfam family "Bacterial small subunit ribosomal RNA", at positions 773 to 1060 of the family's 1533-position model. The record is from RNAcentral.